UACUCCUACGGGAGGCAGCAGUGGGGAAUUUUGGACAAUGGGCGAAAGCCUGAUCCAGCCAUGCCGCGUGAGUAAAGAAGGCCUUCGGGUUGUAAAGCUCUUUUGUCCGGGAGGAAAUCCUGACCCCUAAUACGGGUCGGGGAUGACAGUACUGGAAGAAUAAGCACCGGCUAACUACGUGCCAGCAGCCGCGGUAAU
Molecule: ribosomal RNA, 198 nt
Filed under: uncultured bacterium
Lineage: Bacteria
Description: partial 16S ribosomal RNA
Rfam family: Bacterial small subunit ribosomal RNA
Source: RNAcentral